Molecule: ribosomal RNA, 468 nt
Filed under: uncultured bacterium
Lineage: Bacteria
Description: partial 16S ribosomal RNA
Rfam family: Bacterial small subunit ribosomal RNA
Source: RNAcentral
GACGAACGCUGGCGGCGUGCUUAACACAUGCAAGUCGAACGGAAAGGCUCCAGUUUGCUGGAGUACUAGAGUGGCGAAGGGGUGAGUAACAUGUGGGUGAUCUGCCCUGCACUUCGGGAUAUGCCUGGGAGACUGGGUAUAAUACCGGAUAGGACCGCACGAUGGUGUGUGUGGUGGGAAGGUUUUUCUGGUGUGGGAUGAGCUCGCGGACUAUCAGUUUGUUGGUGGGGUAAUGGACUACCACGACGGCGACGGGUAGCCGGACUGGGAGGGUGGACGGGCGCAUUGGGACUGAGAUACGGCCCAGACUCCUAAUGGAGGCAGCAGUGGGGAAUAUUGCACAAUGGGGGAAACCCUGAUGCAGCGACGCCGCGUGGGGGAUGAAGGCCUUCGGGUUGUGAACUCCUUUCGCGAGAGACGAAGCUUUUUGUGACGGUACCUGGAGAAGAAGCACCGGCUAACUACGUG